UGCUUGUAACUACCAUAUUCGGCAGGGGUAACGACCUACACACCCACUCACCUGCGCUUGCCGCUUUCGUACUCGUCCAGCUUUGCCCGCCUCGCUGCCUCUGUCCCCACCUCCUUCGUUGCGACGCCUUUUUUUGUGGUUGGUCCGCUUCCUGGUGCUCCUCAGACGACUUGGUGCGUGGACUCGCGCCUCUUUUUUUCCUUUUUUUUCUUCUGGCCUCACUGUAUUCUCCGUUUGGUGACUGCGUGUAGGCGUGUGUGAGCCGCUCUCCGCUUUUCUUUUGUACCACCCCCUCCCCCUCCUCACUUCAUAUGUCGCUCCGCCUGAUUCUGUGCCUCUGCCUCUGCCCCGCUUCGCUGCCACACGUCUCUCCGCGUACGCCGGCUUCGUGUGCGUUGGCUCGCUUUGUUUUCCAUCGUUCGCUUGCCGUUCUUUCUGCCCCACUCCCCUCUUUUUUUCUCUUGUUGUGUGUGUCUGUGUGUGAGUGUGCGUGUGCGUGCGCGUUACACAGUUGCUAUCCGAGCUGGCUUCCCUCGGUGCCGUAUCUGCCAACGGAAGUGUCGUUCCUCUCUUUCCGCUUUUCCUUUGCUUCUCCCUUCACCUCCUCUACCUCUUCGUAGUCGUCUACCCUCCCGCAGCCAACGAUGCACGCUGGAGCUGCCGCCGAGGCCGCCAUGCCGCCUAUCGCGACGCUGUCAAGCCGCGUCGUGCGCAUCAUGGGACUCAACCCGGGCUACAUGACGCUGCAGGGAAGCAACACGUACCUCGUCGGCACUGGACAGGAGCGGCUGCUGAUCGACUCCGGCGAAGGCGUGGAGGGCUACGGCCACCUUUUGCAGAAGGCGGUCGACGAGGAAUCGACUCGACUCGGCGGGCCCGUUCUCAUUUCGAAACUGCUGCUCACCCACUGGCACAGGGACCACAUCGGUGGCGUGGAGACGGUGCGUCGCCUCUUUCCACAGGUGCAGUUACUGAAGCAGCCGUCGCAGUACGUCCACACCGAAGUGGAUGCCUUGUGCCAAGUUCCACCUGAGGUCGUCAAGGUAGAGGGCGCCACGCUUCAACUGCUUCACACGCCCGGCCACACCGACGAUCACCUGUGCGCGUUUUUGCAGGAGGAGCGCGCGCUUUUCACAAGUGACACUGUCCUGGGCACUGGGACGUCCGUGUUUUCCAGCUUCAAGGACUACAUGAACUCUUUGCACGUGCUCGAGAGGAUGAAGCCAAAGCGGCUCUACCCGGCGCAUGGCCCCGUCGUCGAGGACGGCACCGCACGAAUCGAGGAGAUCAUCCAGCACCGUAACACGCGUGAGAAGCAGAUUCUCCAGGUGCUGUGUGAGCGCACGCACGGAGUCGCCGCCCUGGACAGUGAAAAGGGCCUCACCGUUCGCGAGCUGGUCGAUAUCAUCUACACUACUAUCCCCGCUGCGCUGAAGACUGCCGCUGGCUCCAACGUUUUCCACCACGUGAAGAAACUACUGAAUGAGGGGAGGGUGGUGGUGCGGUACGCGCCUGCGGAUCUUGUUCACUUCUUGAAGGAUGCCACAGACUACACCGUUUUCGGAGAGGGGGCAGAUGCCGAUGUGAAGGUGAUAGAGCGCAUCUUGACAGAGUUUCGCGUGGCGGCUGCGGGGGUCUCUUCCGGAGCGCCAUAAUCUCACGUCUUUUCAACCGCGUGCUUUUAGAUGGGGAGCAGCAGAAUCUUCCUCUUCCUCCUUUCCCGCACAUGCGAGCCGCUGCCGUGCAGGAUCUCCUGAGUAGAGAGGAGCAUGGGCAGGUCUUCGCCCACCCAGUCCAGGGUGCAUGGUUUCUGCCUUGCUUCUCUUUCUUGUGUGGCGUGUCUCUCUUGCUGCCUUUCACAUUUCUGCCCUGUGCCGAUGCCACCCUCAACGCCCCACCCCACCAUCCUACGUGAUGGGGGGAGACGUGGGAAACAAAAUGCUCGUGCAUGUGUCUGUGUGUGCGUGCCUGUUGGAAGGAGGAGGAGGAGGGCGGGGGAGCGACGACAAGAGGCGUGCAGGUGACAGCAGCACUGCAGUGGCACGUUCACGCGUGUGCUGACGCAUCUUGCCCGCGCUCUUGCUCUUGAGCUUCACGUUGGCCGGACCCCCAUCGUGAGGUGGAACCGACAACAGGGCACGCAGGGGACUCGUGUAACGGAUGGCGGCAAAGAGACGUAGCCGGCCACAGCGCUGAGGCUCCGCAUGGCGAGAAAAGAGGAAAAAGAGCGGCGCGCACAGCUGCACUAAUCCACGUCGUUGCGUGUCUCUGUAGGAACGCUGCCGCAGCGCCCCCUUCUCGCUGCUUGCGGCUCUGCAGCAGCCAAAGAGGAGAGAAAGAACCACGAUGUGCUUUCCUGCUGCGAUGCUCAAGACUGCGUAGGUGGAUGCGUCUGAGGCCCUGACGCGCUCUUCCUUAGAUUUCCUUCAGAGUACGUGCCAUGGUGUAGGUGGGCGGAGGCCUGUGUCUUUGCUGCUUCUCUGGCUGCACGCACGUGGGAUCUGUGUGCGUGUGCGGGACGCAUCUGCCACUUCGCCCCGCCUCCCCCUCCCUCCCUCAACACCACUGUACAUAUUCACGAAU
RNAcentral lists this unclassified non-coding RNA (2583 nucleotides) under Leishmania donovani. RNAcentral's name for it is "gene:LdHU3.21.0790(CDS-product:metallo-beta-lacta mase_family-like_protein)". The record is from RNAcentral. Lineage: Eukaryota; Euglenozoa; Kinetoplastea; Trypanosomatida; Trypanosomatidae.